UUUGCCCAUAUUCCUACGGGAAGCAGCAGUGAGGAAUUUUUCACAAUGGACGAAAGUCUGAUGGAGCAAUACCAUGUGAACGAUGAAGGUCUUCUGAUUGUAAAGUUCUUUUAUUUAGGAAAAAAAGCUUGAUAGGAAAUGAUUAAGCCUUGAUUGUACUAAAUGAAUAAGUGACAGCUAACUAUGUGCCAGCAGCUGCGGUAAAACAUAGGUCACGAGCAUUAUCCGGAUUUAUUGGGCGUAAAGGAAGCGUAGGCGGACAAAUUGAUCUAUUGUUAAAGGCACUUGCUCAACGAGUUGUUCGUGAUAGAUAUCGUUUGUCUAGAAUUAGUUAGGAGAUACUGGAAUUCAAUGUGUAGCGGUGGAAUGCGUAGAUAUAUUGAGGAACACCAGAGGCUAAGGCGAGUAUCUAGGACAUAAUUGACGCUGAGGCUUGAAAGCGUGGGGAGCAAAUGGGAUUAGAUACCCCAGUAGUCCACGCCGUAAACGAUGGGUAUUAGGUAUUUGGUCUAGGACUGAGUGCUGUAGCUAACGCGUUAAAUACCCCGCCUGGGUAGUAUAUAUGCAAAUAGAAUUCAAAA
Molecule: ribosomal RNA, 581 nt
Filed under: Candidatus Mycoplasma haematominutum
Lineage: Bacteria; Bacillati; Mycoplasmatota; Mollicutes; Mycoplasmatales; Mycoplasmataceae
Description: bacterial SSU rRNA
Rfam family: Bacterial small subunit ribosomal RNA
Source: RNAcentral